AAGUCGUAACAAGGUUUCCGUAGGUGAACCUGCGGAAGGAUCAUUACCGAGUUUUCGGGCUUCGGCUCGACUCUCCCACCCUUUGUGAACGUACCUCUGUUGCUUUGGCGGCUCCGGCCGCCAAAGGACCUCCAAACUCCAGUCAGUAAACGCAGACGUCUGAUAAACAAGUUAAUAAACUAAAACUUUCAACAACGGAUCUCUUGGUUCUGGCAUCGAUGAAGAACGCAGCGAAAUGCGAUAAGUAAUGUGAAUUGCAGAAUUCAGUGAAUCAUCGAAUCUUUGAACGCACAUUGCGCCCCUUGGUAUUCCGGGGGGCAUGCCUGUUCGAGCGUCAUUACAACCCUCAAGCUCUGCUUGGAAUUGGGCACCGUCCUCACUGCGGACGCGCCUCAAAGACCUCGGCGGUGGCUGUUCAGCCCUCAAGCGUAGUAGAAUACACCUCGCUUUGGAGUGGUUGGCGUCGCCCGCCGGACGAACCUUCUGAACUUUUCUCAAGGUUGACCUCGGAUCAGGUAGGGAUACCCGCUGAACUUAA
RNAcentral lists this ribosomal RNA (538 nucleotides) under Lasiodiplodia pseudotheobromae. RNAcentral describes it as "eukaryotic LSU rRNA". The stretch from base 184 to 337 matches the Rfam family "5.8S ribosomal RNA". Lineage: Eukaryota; Fungi; Ascomycota; Dothideomycetes; Botryosphaeriales; Botryosphaeriaceae. The record is from RNAcentral.